AUUGGGUGUGGUGGCAUAUGCCUGUAAUCUCUGCUACCAGGAGGAAGAUGGAUCGCUUGAGCACCAGAAUUCUGAGUCACAGUGUGUCCAAAGCUGAUAGGAUGUCCACCCUAAUUCUAGCACCAAUAUGGCGAGCCUCCUAGAGUGGGAGAUUACCAGGCUGCCUAAGGAAGGGUGAAAUGGUCCCGGUUGGAAACAGAAUAGGUCAAAGCUUUUGUACCUAUAGUAAUGAUAGCUAGCAUUUACAUAGCGCUUUAAGGUUUGCAAAGUGAUUACAAGUAUUAU
RNAcentral lists this non-coding RNA (285 nucleotides) under Phascolarctos cinereus (koala). The record is from RNAcentral. Lineage: Eukaryota; Metazoa; Chordata; Mammalia; Diprotodontia; Phascolarctidae.